GUACACAAAAAUGCACAUGCUGUGAGCUCGAUGAGUAGGGCGGGACACGUGGUAUCCUGUCUGAAUAUGGGGGGACCAUCCUCCAAGGCUAAAUACUCCUGACUGACCGAUAGUGAACCAGUACCGUGAGGGAAAGGCGAAAAGAACCCCGGCGAGGGGAGUGAAAAAGAACCUGAAACCGUGUACGUACAAGCAGUGGGAGCACGCUUAGGCGUGUGACUGCGUACCUUUUGUAUAAUGGGUCAGCGACUUAUAUUCUGUAGCAAGGUUAACCGAAUAGGGGAGCCGAAGGGAAACCGAGUCUUAACUGGGCGUUAAGUUGCAGGGUAUAGACCCGAAACCCGGUGAUCUAGCCAUGGGCAGGUUGAAGGUUGGGUAACACUAACUGGAGGACCGAACCGACUAAUGUUGAAAAAUUAGCGGAUGACUUGUGGCUGGGGGUGAAAGGCCAAUCAAACCGGGAGAUAGCUGGUUCUCCCCGAAAGCUAUUUAGGUAGCGCCUCGUGAAUUCAUCUCCGGGGGUAGAGCACUGUUUCGGCAAGGGGGUCAUCCCGACUUACCAACCCGAUGCAAACUGCGAAUACCGGAGAAUGUUAUCACGGGAGACACACGGCGGGUGCUAACGUCCGUCGUGAAGAGGGAAACAACCCAGACCGCCAGCUAAGGUCCCAAAGUCAUGGUUAAGUGGGAAACGAUGUGGGAAGGCCCAGACAGCCAGGAUGUUGGCUUAGAAGCAGCCAUCAUUUAAAGAAAGCGUAAUAGCUCACUGGUCGAGUCGGCCUGCGCGGAAGAUGUAACGGGGCUAAACCAUGCACCGAAGCUGCGGCAGCGACGCUGAUGCGUUGUUGGGUAGGGGAGCGUUCUGUAAGCCUGUGAAGGUGUACUGUGAGGUAUGCUGGAGGUAUCAGAAGUGCGAAUGCUGACAUAAGUAACGAUAAAGCGGGUGAAAAGCCCGCUCGCCGGAAGACCAAGGGUUCCUGUCCAACGUUAAUCGGGGCAGGGUGAGUCGACCCCUAAGGCGAGGCCGAAAGGCGUAGUCGAUGGGAAACAGGUUAAUAUUCCUGUACUUGGUGUUACUGCGAAGGGGGGACGGAGAAGGCUAUGUUGGCCGGGCGACGGUUGUCCCGGUUUAAGCGUGUAGGCUGGUUUUCCAGGCAAAUCCGGAAAAUCAAGGCUGAGGCGUGAUGACGAGGCACUACGGUGCUGAAGCAACA
RNAcentral lists this ribosomal RNA (1214 nucleotides) under Escherichia coli. RNAcentral's name for it is "partial 23S ribosomal RNA". It matches the Rfam family "Bacterial large subunit ribosomal RNA", at positions 375 to 1595 of the family's 2925-position model. Lineage: Bacteria; Pseudomonadati; Pseudomonadota; Gammaproteobacteria; Enterobacterales; Enterobacteriaceae. The record is from RNAcentral.